AGCGAACGCUGGCGGCAGGCUUAACACAUGCAAGUCGAACGGGCGUAGCAAUACGUCAGUGGCAGACGGGUGAGUAACACGUGGGAACGUACCCUUUGGUUCGGAACAACACAGGGAAACUUGUGCUAAUACCGGAUAAGCCCUUACGGGAAAGAUUUAUCGCCGAAGGAUCGGCCCGCGUCUGAUUAGCUUGUUGGUGAGGUAAUGGCUCACCAAGGCGACGAUCAGUAGCUGGUCUGAGAGGAUGAUCAGCCACACUGGGACUGAGACACGGCCCAGACUCCUACGGGAGGCAGCAGUGGGGAAUAUUGGACAAUGGGCGCAAGCCUGAUCCAGCCAUGCCGCGUGAGUGAUGAAGGCCCUAGGGUUGUAAAGCUCUUUUGGCGGGGAAGAUAAUGACGGUACCGCAGAAUAAGCCCCGGCUAACUUCGUGCCAGCAGCCGCGGUAAU
RNAcentral lists this ribosomal RNA (450 nucleotides) under uncultured bacterium. RNAcentral describes it as "bacterial SSU rRNA". It matches the Rfam family "Bacterial small subunit ribosomal RNA", at positions 29 to 524 of the family's 1533-position model. The record is from RNAcentral.